Molecule: non-coding RNA, 54 nt
Organism: Salmo salar (Atlantic salmon)
Lineage: Eukaryota; Metazoa; Chordata; Actinopteri; Salmoniformes; Salmonidae
Source: Rfam
CCCACUCCAAUUUGUAAGUCGCUCUGGAUAAGAGCGUCUGCUAAAUGACGUAAA